Molecule: long non-coding RNA, 654 nt
Filed under: Nicotiana benthamiana
Lineage: Eukaryota; Viridiplantae; Streptophyta; Magnoliopsida; Solanales; Solanaceae
Description: long non-coding RNA (NBEN_LNC035873)
Source: RNAcentral
CAAUGAAACAAAUUUUAUUCUUAGCAGACAAAGCCAUAAUCAUCUUACGUUUCCAACCUCCAUAACCACUACCCGAGAAGGGAGUGGGAACAAGAGACACACCAGGCACAUCAGAAGAAUUUACAAACAAAGGGUUGGAAGAGUCUAUAGAACCAGAAUUACCACCAGAACCACCAACAUUUGUGUUAGAUGCCAUGUUCAAAUGAAUUAGUUUGUCAACAAGUAUAUUGAAACUGAAACAGAACGCUCACAAAUAUCACCAAAUAUCAUUGUUCACAACUGAAACAAAUUAUUCGGAAAUAGAAUCAAACAAUCGCACAUAACCAAAGAAUAAGAACAGUGUUACCGUCCUUCUUCGCAACCGGAGAAGAUCGGCCUUCUAACAACAGAUAAAACCCUAGGUAUGAGCCCUAGGAACACCCGUCAAAAUUUGCCGGAGAUACUGUCAAGGAUGUCGGAGUAGGAACAAUUACACCCAAAACACCCGCUAAAAUGAGUAUCAACCCACCGGAUAGUAGUCAAACGACCGAUUUGGCCACCAGAAACCCUAGAAGUUGAAAACUCACCGGAAAAUCUCCAAAAAUUCUAUAACAAUCGAUUGAACCGUUCAAGAGAAGAGAACAGUCAUAGAUCGUGAAGAUAAUGACUUGAAAC